This 520-nucleotide ribosomal RNA is filed under the name Cladosporium sp. FL-2010e. RNAcentral's name for it is "eukaryotic LSU rRNA". The stretch from base 197 to 350 matches the Rfam family "5.8S ribosomal RNA". The record is from RNAcentral. Lineage: Eukaryota; Fungi; Ascomycota; Dothideomycetes; Cladosporiales; Cladosporiaceae.
GUAACAAGGUCUCCGUAGGUGAACCUGCGGAGGGAUCAUUACAAGAACGCCCGGGCUUCGGCCUGGUUAUUCAUAACCCUUUGUUGUCCGACUCUGUUGCCUCCGGGGCGACCCUGCCUUCGGGCGGGGGCUCCGGGUGGACACUUCAAACUCUUGCGUAACUUUGCAGUCUGAGUAAACUUAAUUAAUAAAUUAAAACUUUUAACAACGGAUCUCUUGGUUCUGGCAUCGAUGAAGAACGCAGCGAAAUGCGAUAAGUAAUGUGAAUUGCAGAAUUCAGUGAAUCAUCGAAUCUUUGAACGCACAUUGCGCCCCCUGGUAUUCCGGGGGGCAUGCCUGUUCGAGCGUCAUUUCACCACUCAAGCCUCGCUUGGUAUUGGGCAACGCGGUCCGCCGCGUGCCUCAAAUCGUCCGGCUGGGUCUUCUGUCCCCUAAGCGUUGUGGAAACUAUUCGCUAAAGGGUGUUCGGGAGGCUACGCCGUAAAACAACCCCAUUUCUAAGGUGACCUCGGAUCAGGUA